This 235-nucleotide ribosomal RNA is filed under the name uncultured bacterium. Its description in RNAcentral is "partial 16S ribosomal RNA". It matches the Rfam family "Bacterial small subunit ribosomal RNA", at positions 29 to 263 of the family's 1533-position model. The record is from RNAcentral.
AACGAACGCUGGCGGCAUGCCUAACACAUGCAAGUCGAACGGGAUCCUGGUUUCGGCCAGGUGAGAGUGGCGGACGGGUGAGUAACGCGUGGGAACCUGCCCAGUGGGUGGGGAGUAACUAGCGGGAACGUAGCAGCUAAUAACCGCAUGAGCCCGCCGAAAGGGGAAAAGGGAAUUGUAUCGCCCACUUGGAGGGGCCCGGCCGUUCGUAUUAGGUAGUUGGUGGAGGUAACGG